CUAUGCUUUUCAAAUUUCCAUCACUCAUUGUGAAGUUUAGUUUUCAUUGUCAACUUGACUUGAUUUAGAAUCACCACCGAAGACCCACUCUGAGUAUGAAUGGCACCAUCCCUUGAGCUGAUGUCCCAGACAGAAUAAAAAGGAAACAGUGAGGUUUCUCUGGAUUUUCCUGGAAUGAAGGACUCACUUUGGCCACAUUUGGAUUUCACUGAAAUUCAAAGGACCUCAAAAUACUGGGAUGCCAAAGUUGACCUGGACUAGCAGACGUCAAGAUGCAUCUCUUUCCCAUCAUACAACUACCUUCCUAACAAGAUUAAGAAAAGCUACCACAGGGAGAUGGACUCCCCUCACCACCCCCUGCAUCUAUCUAUCCAAUCAGACUGAAAUGUUCUGGGUGAAAUAAUUUGUGGCACUGUUUCAAUCUUUCCUCCUAGAGUAGCUGAUGCUUCUUAAUAUCUUUGCUAAUGAGAUCAUGGGAGCUGUGGCUAAUGUGGAAUCAUUUCUGGCUUGAUGCAAUGGGUGGGUAGCUGUGCAGUGAUGGCUGUGGUAUGACUCGCCUCUGUAGCCCUCUCACCAUAGUGCAGUUUCUAGAAUUGCUAUGUGACAUGGAUACUAUGCAUUGGGCUGUGCUGUGAGUCUGCACUAAGACAAUAUAGUCCCAAGCAUGAAUUCUGGUGACUUGGAUAGUUCAUGUCCUUUCAUACUUUGCAUUUUAGAUUUCCUGAAAGCUUAACCAGCGUCUUUUGCAGAGCUGCCUCUUCUGGGGAAAAGAGAACUCAACUCAGAUUUAGAUGAACUUUGGCAUCUAUUACAGGAAAAUAGCUUACUGUUCCCAACUCUGCCCCUGUUCCUACAUGCCAUUACAUUGCUAAUUUACCUAAGACUAUGAUACAGUCAAGGGCUCCCAGGAAAAGGACUGGGGGUUUCAUGCAGUCUUGGGAUGGCCUCAGCUAUUGAAUGUCUUCCAGGAUGCUUCCUGAAUCCCUAGAGCUUGUUUGGUUUUCAAUUUGCCUCAAAUUCAACAUCAAAGUAGCCCAGCCUCUUUAAAAGAUCAGUAUUCUGAAACUCACCUCCAUCUGCCUAUUGUCAAAGCCUGUUAUUAAUAGCCAGAUACAUUGUGUGGUUCUUUGAGGUGAGAGCUUGGGAAAGGGCACUCAAAGUCAUUCUGGAACUAUCAGAAGGGCCUAGGAGUAGGAUUGCAGAUGGAUUCCUGAAAGAGAAGGAAAUGGAAGGCUAGAGAGGGUCUGCUUGUGUUGGCAAGUUUCUGGAAGAACUCCUUUCCCCUGAGGUCAACCAGCAUUCAUCCAAUCAUGUUCACACAGCUGCUUCCAGGUCUGAAGGACAACACCUCUUUAUAUGCGACAUCGUAGUUUCCAUCAUUUUUGCCAGGUACCUGUGUAACUAUUGUCAGGUCUAAGUGUGUUUGUA
Long non-coding RNA from Mesocricetus auratus (golden hamster), 1428 nucleotides. RefSeq lists it as uncharacterized. Lineage: Eukaryota; Metazoa; Chordata; Mammalia; Rodentia; Cricetidae. The transcript has 3 exons. The record is from RefSeq and is a predicted model, not a curated record.